Molecule: small nuclear RNA, 107 nt
Organism: Jaculus jaculus (lesser Egyptian jerboa)
Lineage: Eukaryota; Metazoa; Chordata; Mammalia; Rodentia; Dipodidae
Source: RefSeq, a predicted model, not a curated record
GCGCUUUCUUGGGCAGCGCAUAUACUAAAAUUGGAACAACACAGAGAAGAUUAGCAUGGCCCCUGUGCAAGAAUGACAUGCAAAUUCAUGAAGCGUUCCAUAUAAAA